This is a long non-coding RNA of Rhipicephalus sanguineus (brown dog tick), 251 nucleotides long. RefSeq lists it as uncharacterized. The record is from RefSeq and is a predicted model, not a curated record. Lineage: Eukaryota; Metazoa; Arthropoda; Arachnida; Ixodida; Ixodidae. The transcript has 3 exons.
CUCGCGAUAAGCCACGCGAGCAACGCACGGUUCAUGCUCCUGGGACGUUCAAACCACGAAAAAACACGCGCUGGCAAAGAACGAGUGCUGAUAACACCCCAAGGACCCGUUUCGACGACGACGCGUUCAGUGUGCAGCAAGUUCAAAUGGCAGAACGAAAACUGCUGAAGUUCGUGCAUGUUCUGGAUGGAGUUCUGAAACACACUGAAGAUAAGAUCAGGAAGCUGUCAGACGAGAGCGGCAAGACAGGC